CAUUCUUUUCUUGAUGGUGGGCGAUAAACAACGUACAAUUCUACAUGAAGUAUAUUUUAACUUAAUUUGCAGAGGAGGAUGUAAAACAUGAUGGGAUUUAUAUCUCUAAAUUUUAUUCUACCACUUUAGAAUUAAUCAGCAUAUCUUGAUGUUAAGUGCAUAAUACAAAAAUGAGCGAUCCUGUUUUACUACAAAUAUUUAUCAUUUACCUAUCAUUAAUCAAAUACUAUCUAUGAAAUUAUCAAUUUUUGAGAUAACGGAUAAUUAUGUAGUUCAUAUUUCCAGAAUACCAUUGGAAACGUUUGCCUCAUAGAAAUGGACAAUUAUAAUCUUGGAAUAAAAGAGAGACCAGGUGUCGUAUAAAUGUAAAUAUAUGUAGACGUUGCUUAAAGGAACGCUCAUAAGCCAUUACAAUAUACAGAAAACGAGAGGAAUCUCAUAGUCCAAACCAGAUAGAAAGACCAGAGUCACAAUUCCUCAACAAAACCCGAGGAAGACUGGAUUGAAAAUGCUCGGAGCAGAGAGAUUCAUUAUGACGAUAUAUCCAAAUAUUGCGUUGAUCUAGGGACAUUUAAGGAAACCAUUAACACACGAUGCAUGCAUUUAAUAUGAUAUGCGAUCUUUUUUUGCUAAAAUUCAAGAGUCUUGUUCGAGCCGUUGCUUGGUUAUAAAAAUGUUAACUCUGCAUUUCAUCAUAAAACGGUUUUGUAUGAUCCUAAGAGCUAUAUGUUGAAGAAUCCUUCUAAAUACUUAAGAUUAUCUGAAACCUAUAACAGGAACAAUGGAUAAAUGGUGUUCAACAUUUCUUUAAAACCAAACUCUAUCUAUUUCACACCUGUAUUCUUAUAGAAAAGAAAAACUUUUAUUUUUUAUUGAAUUAAAAUGUUAGUGAGAUAUAAAGAUAUCUAGACAAUGGAUUCAACAGGGAAUCAAUUGUGAAAGCGUUUGCAUAUAUUUUAAAAGAAAACACAUUUAAGAGAAUAAUUUUAAUUUCCAAAACCUUAAGAUGAUUUACUUUAAUACUUAAUGACCACACCAUGAUAUAGGUUUAUUCUGUCCAUGUCACAUUUUACAGCAUUGUAUUUCGUUAUUGCUUAUCAAUGUAUUUAUUUAAUGCAAUACGUUCUUGGUGAGUUUUUUUAUGUUAAAAAAAACCAAAAAAACCAAACAAUCAAACAAACUCUUACUAAAUGAAUGGAUUAUAAACCUCAUCCAAAAUAUGUUAAUUUAAAUACAUUCAGGAAAUGUUGAGUAGAUAAUCAACUGGCUUAUUAAUGUGAAGGAGAGCCACAGGCUCAACAAUUAAAAACUAUGAUAAAAAGAACAACAGUUUGUUACAUGUACCACAUUGGAUACAUUUUACUUAAGGAAAUAAUAAGCUUGAAGUCCUUAUAAUGAGUUGACAUUUGUUUAGAUCCGAAGCAAAAAAAAUAGACUUUGUUUUUAAAAGAAUAGAUGAAAAGGAAAUCGUGACAAUGUGUGUAUGACUAGAUUGAAUUUAACAAAAGACAGUUGGUGAACAUUUAAUGUGUAAUGAUUGCUUUUAAAACUAGAUCCUACAUUAUAAAGAACGUGUUUUACAAGUUUUAAUUUUUUUAAAUUUCUUUUUUUGUUUGUAUGUUAGUUUUUUGUUUUUGUUUUUGUUUUUAGCUUUGUUACCCAUUCAAUACCUUAAACACUGUUUUACUUUGUUAUUGAUUCGUGCCAGUUUUGCUGUGCGUAUUUUGAACAGAUUGCCUUGUUUAUGAAAUCAGUUGCCAUUUUUUUCUAAUUAGAAGCGAAAAAAAAUGAUUUUAAAAGAAAGGAUGAAAAGGAAACUGUGACAAUGUAUGAAUUAUUGCAAGACUAUAUUUGAUCGGAUAAAAGACAGUUGAUGGACAUUUAAUAUGUAAAUAGUUUUUUUUUUCUAAUUGAACCAGUUGGAU
Magallana angulata is the source of this 1925-nucleotide long non-coding RNA. RefSeq lists it as uncharacterized. The record is from RefSeq and is a predicted model, not a curated record. The transcript is spliced from 3 exons. NCBI's taxonomy places the organism in Eukaryota, Metazoa, Mollusca, Bivalvia, Ostreida, Ostreidae.